RNAcentral lists this ribosomal RNA (253 nucleotides) under uncultured bacterium. RNAcentral's name for it is "partial 16S ribosomal RNA". It matches the Rfam family "Bacterial small subunit ribosomal RNA", at positions 524 to 776 of the family's 1533-position model. The record is from RNAcentral.
UACGGAGGGGGCAAGCGUUGUUCGGAAUUACUGGGCGUAAAGCGCGCGUAGGCGGUUUCUCAAGUCAGGCGUGAAAGCCCUGGGCUCAACCCGGGAAUUGCGCUUGAUACUGAGUCACUUGAGGCCGGGAGAGGGUAGUGAAAUUCCCAGUGUAGAGGUGAAAUUCGUAGAUAUUGGGAAGAACACCAGUGGCGAAGGCGGCUACCUGGACCGGUACUGACGCUGAUGCGCGAAAGCGUGGGGAGCAAACAGG